RNAcentral lists this ribosomal RNA (428 nucleotides) under uncultured bacterium. RNAcentral's name for it is "bacterial SSU rRNA". It matches the Rfam family "Bacterial small subunit ribosomal RNA", at positions 917 to 1344 of the family's 1533-position model. The record is from RNAcentral.
GGGAUCACACAAGCGGUGGAGCAUGUUGUUUAAUUCGAAGCAACGCGAAGAACCUUACCUACUCUUGACAUCUACAGGAUCCUGCGGAGACGCGGGAGUGCCUUCGGGAACUGUAAGACAGGUGCUGCAUGGCUGUCGUCAGCUCGUGUUGUGAAAUGUUGGGUUAAGUCCCGCAACGAGCGCAACCCUUAUCCUUGUUUGCCAGCGAGUAAUGUCGGGAACUCCAGGGAGACUGCCGGUGAUAAACCGGAGGAAGGUGGGGACGACGUCAAGUCAUCAUGGCCCUUACGAGUAGGGCUACACACGUGCUACAAUGGCGCAUACAGAGGGCAGCAAGCUAGCGAUAGUGAGCGAAUCCCAAAAAGUGCGUCGUAGUCCGGAUCGGAGUCUGCAACUCGACUCCGUGAAGUCGGAAUCGCUAGUAAUCG